This is a long non-coding RNA of Cloeon dipterum, 557 nucleotides long. RefSeq lists it as uncharacterized. The record is from RefSeq and is a predicted model, not a curated record. NCBI's taxonomy places the organism in Eukaryota, Metazoa, Arthropoda, Insecta, Ephemeroptera, Baetidae. The transcript has 3 exons.
AAUUUUAUUGUUUGGUACUACCAUUUAUGGAUUUGCGAGCCUACAAAUUUCGAUGAUCAGCUUGGCUGUAAAAAUGAUAAACCACGUGAGCCAGAUCAUUUGUUUCAUCGAUCAAAAGAGUGAGAAUCAUGAAUGGAGCGAGCAAGAUAAAAGAAAUGCUUUCAACUACGCUGUCCAACAGCACCAGAGGUGCAUUCGCUUCGUUCACUGCAUUAACAAAAUCUUCGCGAUGACAACUCUGCUGGACGUUUGGACUCUCACUUUCGCCCUUUGUUUGAACACUCACCUUUUUGUGACGCAUCCUUCAGAGGCCCCCUUGCCUGUUGGUUCAAUUUUACAAAACGUCAUAGUGAUGGCACUUUACAUCGGUAUGGCUUGCUGGCACAGCGAUAGAGUCACCAAAGCAGGGCUGAUGAUAAGUACAAACUGCAAUGCAAUGUUAUGGUGGAAUUUAGAUCAAGAAAUGAUCCAGGAUAUCAGCAUCAUGUCGCAAGUAGCUCAAAUGAAGUUAACAAUAAAGGCUGGCCCAGUGUACACGCUCAAUAUGAGAACAUUCC